AAUAGAUACCCUGGUAGUCCACGCCGUAAACGAUGGAUGCUAGCUAUUGGGGGGAAUCGACCCCCUCCGAAGCGAAGUUAACGCGUUAAGCAUCCCGCCUGAGUAGUACGAGCGCAAGCUUAAAACUCAAAGGAAUUGACGGGGACCCGCACAAGCGGUGGAGCGUGUGGUUUAAUUCGAUGGUAAACGAAGAACCUUACCAAGGUUUGACAUCCCGGUAGCCGUUCUCCGAAAGGAGAAUUUCAUUUAGUUGGACCGGUGACAGGUGAUGCAUGGCCGUCGUCAGCUCGUGUCGUGAGAUGUUGGGUUAAGUCCCGCAACGAGCGCAACCCUUAUGAUUUAGUUGGAUUUUUCUAAACAGACUGCCCUGGUAACAGGGAGGAAGGAGGGGAUGAUGUCAGGUCAGUAUUUCCCUUACACCUUGGGGCGACACACGCGCUACAAUGGCCGGUACAAUGGGCAGCUAAGCCGCGAGGUGGAGCAAAUCCCAUCAAAGCCGGUCCCAGUUCGGAUUGCAGGCUGAAACCCGCCUGCAUGAAGCCGGAAUCGCUAGUAACC
This 558-nucleotide ribosomal RNA is filed under the name uncultured bacterium. RNAcentral's name for it is "bacterial SSU rRNA". It matches the Rfam family "Bacterial small subunit ribosomal RNA", at positions 777 to 1343 of the family's 1533-position model. The record is from RNAcentral.